GAGAAGCUGCAUUCUAAGAAGCAUUAUGACCUGUCUUCUUAGAAACAACACGGCAUCACUUUUACCACAUUCUUUUGGUCACAAGGAGAGGGAAUUACACAUCACCUGAUUUUGGAUGCAUGUGUGAGGUAUGCUACUGUACUCACAAGACAUCUGAAACUAUACCCAGAUCAUCUAGAAGUGAACAUGUUCCAGGUGAUGUCCCUAUGUAAACCAAGGGUUGGUUUUCAGUGGGUAGAAAAUGCCCUUCAAACACUGACCCUGUCAUAUUGCAGAUGCCUUCAGCUCUGAAGGCUGGGAAAUUUAAAGUCAAGGACCACCAGGUUUGGUGUCUGGUGAAGGCUGCUCUCUUUGCCUUUGAGAUGAUGUCCUGUUUCUGUGUCCUCCUGAGGGAAUGAACACUGUGUCCUCACAUGGUUGGCAGAAUCAGAAGUGGAAAAGGGGCUUAAGCUAGCUCCCUCCAGCCCAUUCAUAAGGCAUGUAAUCAUUUAUCUAAAAGGCUCACCUCUUUAUACUACCACAAUCAGGAUGAAGCUUCAAUGUGCAUCUGGGAGGGGACACACAUUCAAAUUGUAGUCCAUGGGUUACUUUAAUCAAACUCCAAUUUUUUAAAUAUUUACUCCCCUCUUAGUUCAUUUAGAAUCUUGUCACCAUGUUCUGUACACAGUUUUAAUUUCUCUCUUUCUCUUUUUCUUUUGAUAAGGGUAAACUCUUUUGUACAUAUGAUGAGUCUAUAAAGUCUUGACAAUUUUAUGUAUGUAAUAUUUCAUAAAAUUUCACAAAUACUUUAUUAUACCUAUCCUUUGAAAUCAGUAUGAGAAAAUCUAAUAAAAUUUUUUUAUAAUUCUC
This is a long non-coding RNA of Homo sapiens (human), 849 nucleotides long. RefSeq annotates it as long independently transcribed non-coding RNA 2741. The record is from RefSeq and is a predicted model, not a curated record. NCBI's taxonomy places the organism in Eukaryota, Metazoa, Chordata, Mammalia, Primates, Hominidae. The transcript has 4 exons.